Pseudophryne corroboree (corroboree frog) is the source of this 1502-nucleotide long non-coding RNA. RefSeq lists it as uncharacterized. The record is from RefSeq and is a predicted model, not a curated record. NCBI's taxonomy places the organism in Eukaryota, Metazoa, Chordata, Amphibia, Anura, Myobatrachidae. The transcript has 9 exons.
GUCCCGGCCCUCCUCUAUGUGGGAGGCGGUCACUGUCGCCGCUGCCAGAAGCAGGUGGGAUCACUCUAUAACUGAGAUCUACAAUACGGUCAUGCCCACUGAGAGCACUGACUGAUCACAGCAUAGAACGUGCAGUAGAUCCGCCUCCAUGCAGUGCUUGCUGGGAAGCGGUUUGAAUCCGUGGCGGUUCGGGGCCACACCGUCGCAUUCUUACCCUCUGUAGCAGUGUAUGAACAAUCACCGCUGCCCCCACACCGUGACCCGUCCCUGCCACGCUCAGCAUGGAAUCGGCGGAAAGGCAGCAGCGUGGGUCGCUUGACGCCAGUAUUCUGUCCCAUGCGCAGGAGGACCCGGAGCUGGCACAGAAAUAUGAGAAGUCGGUUUGAUACAUCUCUCCUGGAACAUGAAAGAAAACACACCUGGAGGGUAUACAGGACCACACCUGUGUCUUUUGGCAUAAUAUUUUAGUAAUCAAUAUGGAGAACAGCAUACUGUCAUGGUAGAGACAAGGAACCAUAUUAGCAGGUUUAGGACAUAAUGAGGCAAGAACAAUAACCUGAAUCAUAUGGAAAUGAGAAAUUGCUGUAAGCAGAAAGACUGCUGCAGUUACUACAAGCAACCACUGCCUGCAAGAGAUCUAUAGAUAAUCUCCAGCAAAACAUUUUCUACCAUAGUUCAGUUACUUACUAUCGUGUGGUGGCGGUGUGGAGAAACUCACGACCUGUUAACGUACUUUCCCGUACUUCGUGACCAUAUGAACAAACUUUGAGGACAGUUUUAUAUACGGGCUGUAACUACGUCGUGUGUCGAGCACAUAGGCACUGUCUGUGGAGAACCGGAACACACAUCUCCCCCCCGUCACCUCCUGCAUCUACCGCAAAGUCGCAAACCGGCCAACCGACCAGCACCCGAGAUCGCUGCCGCUGGCCGCCCGACUGCGGCUGGCCUGUAUCCCUGAAGGGUGUCCUUUCUGUCAACUCAGCUCUUUGCUCCAGAGCUCUGCCUUCCGUGUAGGAGGGAGAGUCCGCAGCAGCGGUAUGGCUGCGCUUACUGGUAUUGGUGUAGAUGAGCAGCUUGCUGGCUACUCCCGUCACAAAGGCCUCCUUCAGGAACUGAGCAUGGAAUUAGAAUGGAUCUCUUCCAGAAACCUUGGAUGAGAUGACAGAGUUAUUGGUGGAUCUGGUCAGGAUCCCGGCAGUCGAGAUCCCGUGAGUAGAAAUACCAACGCUGGAAUAACGACACUACUUGGAAUGCCGAUGCCGGCAUCCCGAAUAUUGUGACAAGGUGAAUGAGCCCCUCAGAAACUGCCAGCUCGACACCUAUUCCAAGAUCAACAUCUGUUCCAACAAGUUCAGUACUGUAUGUAUGCCACUAGCAACUUGUAUCAGCAAUGACAAGGAAUUCAGCUUUUCAAACAUUACCUUUUCACGUGGAAUGUACUUCACAUAUUUUUCUGUGUGUAUUUCCUGAAAUGUACUGAAAUAAAUAACUGAUUUUAAUAA